RNAcentral lists this ribosomal RNA (514 nucleotides) under uncultured bacterium. RNAcentral's name for it is "partial 16S ribosomal RNA". It matches the Rfam family "Bacterial small subunit ribosomal RNA", at positions 28 to 523 of the family's 1533-position model. The record is from RNAcentral.
GACGAAUGCUGGCGGCGUGCCUAACACAUGCAAGUCGAACGGAGAUUUCAGCAAUGACAUCUUAGUGGCGAACGGGUGAGUAACGCGUAGACAACCUGCCUUUUAGAUGGGGACAACACCGCGAAAGCGGUGCCAAUACCGAAUGUUGUAUUUUAAUCGCAUGAUUGAGAUACUAAAGAUGGCCUCUGUAUAUGCUAUCGCUAAAAGAUGGGUCUGCGUCUGAUUAGCUAGUUGGUGAGGGAAUGGCUCACCAAGGCGACGAUCAGUAGCCGGGCUGAGAGGAUGAACGGCCACACUGGGACUGGGACCCGGCCCAGACUCCUACGGGAGGCAGCAGUGGGGAAUCUUCCGCAAUGGACGAAAGUCUGACGGAGCAACGCCGCGUGAGUGAAGAAGGUUUUCGGAUCGUAAAACUCUGUUUUCAGGGACGAAUGUGCAGCUUGUAAAUAAUGAGUUGUAAUGACGGUACCUGAGUAGAAAGCCACGGCUAACUACGUGCCAGCAGCCGCCGUAA